AUUGAACGCUGGCGGCAUGCCUAACACAUGCAAGUCGAACGGUAACAGGACUAGCUUGCUAGUUGCUGACGAGUGGCGGACGGGUGAGUAAUGCGUAGGAAUUUGCCUAGUAGUGGGGGAUAGCCCGGGGAAACUCGGAUUAAUACCGCAUACGCCCUACGGGGAAAGCAGGGGAUCUUCGGACCUUGCGCUAUUGGAUAAGCCUACGUCAGAUUAGCUUGUUGGUGGGGUAAAGGCCUACCAAGGCGACGAUCUGUAGCUGGUCUGAGAGGAUGAUCAGCCACACUGGGACCGAGACACGGCCCAG
RNAcentral lists this ribosomal RNA (307 nucleotides) under uncultured bacterium. Its description in RNAcentral is "bacterial SSU rRNA". It matches the Rfam family "Bacterial small subunit ribosomal RNA", at positions 30 to 334 of the family's 1533-position model. The record is from RNAcentral.